Molecule: ribosomal RNA, 401 nt
Filed under: uncultured bacterium
Lineage: Bacteria
Description: bacterial SSU rRNA
Rfam family: Bacterial small subunit ribosomal RNA
Source: RNAcentral
UGGGGAAUAUUGGACAAUGGGGGAAACCCUGAUCCAGCCAUGCCGCGUGAGUGAAGAAGGCCUUAGGGUUGUAAAGCUCUUUCGGCGGGGAAGAUGAUGACGGUACCCGCAGAAGAAGCCCCGGCUAACUCCGUGCCAGCAGCCGCGGUAAUACGGAGGGGGCUAGCGUUGUUCGGAAUUACUGGGCGUAACGCGCACGUAGGCGGUUCGGCAAGUCAGAGGUGAAAUCCCCAGGCUCAACCUGGGAAUUGCCUUUGAUACUGUCGGACUAGAGUCCGGGAGAGGGUAGUGGAAUUCCCAGUGUAGAGGUGAAAUUCGUAGAUAUUGGGAAGAACACCGGUGGCGAAGGCGGCUACCUGGACCGGUUCUGACGCUGAGGUGCGAAAGCGUGGGGAGCAAAC